This 60-nucleotide transfer RNA is filed under the name Campodea lubbockii. RNAcentral's name for it is "Campodea lubbocki tRNA-His". Lineage: Eukaryota; Metazoa; Arthropoda; Diplura; Rhabdura; Campodeidae. The record is from RNAcentral.
ACUUAUAUAGUUUAUAAAAAAUAUAGAAAUGUGGUUUCUAAGAAGAUUAUUUUAUAAGUU